AUGGGAAUAGUUGGCUCUUCAUUGGUUCCGAAUGAAGAAAGUUUUCAAAAUGUACGUACCACAGCUAUAAACCUAAACUCGUCUAUAAUUAACAGAACAGAUGACGAAUAUUUGUAUGACUUGAUGCCACAAGGGCCGAACAUAAAUGUUCAAAGAACUUCAGCUGUUCGAAAUGUUGUAAACUUGCGUAGGAACACCUUGAAAAUUAUUGACAGAGGAAAUAACAUAUAUCUGAUUACUUUUUAUUUUGAUGCAUUAUAUGAUGUGGAAAUAUCUACUUUUUUUUGUUGUAAAGAACAAGAAACUGUAACGAAGGAAAUAAUAUUCAUUCCAACAAAAUAUAAAGUAAUUACGAAAUUGUUUUAUAAAGGGGAAAAUCAAAUGUAUAUUAAUACACCAGAUGAUGAGAUAAACUUUAAUUAUUUUGAUAUAAAUGAUUUUAAAUGUAAACCGAGCUACGAAAAUAUAAUUCCCAUUUUAAUUAUAUUGAAUGCCAUAGGAUCUCCCAUACAAUAUGCACAAUUUAACUAUGCAUAUUUACAUGUAAACGAAGACCGAGAUAUUAACAUAAAUGAAAGUAAAUAUAAAAUUGUAUUGUAUAAGCAAAAAAUAAAAUUUAACAACAGAUACUUUGAAAUUCAAGAAAUUUUUGGAAUACAAAAACCGAUUAAACAGCAACCUGAUGAAAUAAAUAACUACGCCACGGGAAGGUAAGUUAAAAAUGCGUACAUACAUACAUGAACAUGUUCUUACGUAUAUAUAUACAUAUAUAGUUAUAUUUUCAUUUAUUUAUUUAUUUUUUUUUUAUAGCGAAUGUGUUAUAUGUCUUACUGAAGAGCGU
RNAcentral lists this long non-coding RNA (841 nucleotides) under Piliocolobus tephrosceles (Ugandan red Colobus). RNAcentral describes it as "lncRNA (ENSPTEG00000026461.1)". Lineage: Eukaryota; Metazoa; Chordata; Mammalia; Primates; Cercopithecidae. The record is from RNAcentral.